CUACGGGAGGCAGCAGUAAGGAAUAUUGGUCAAUGGRCGCAAGUCUGAACCAGCCAUGCCGCGUGRAGGAUGAAGGCCCUUGGGUUGUAAACUUCUUUUAUAUGGGACGAAAAAGGGCCUUUCUAGGUCAACUGACGGUACCAUGUGAAUAAGCACCGG
This 159-nucleotide ribosomal RNA is filed under the name uncultured bacterium. RNAcentral's name for it is "partial 16S ribosomal RNA". It matches the Rfam family "Bacterial small subunit ribosomal RNA", at positions 339 to 496 of the family's 1533-position model. The record is from RNAcentral.